RNAcentral lists this unclassified non-coding RNA (262 nucleotides) under plant metagenome. RNAcentral's name for it is "partial contains small subunit ribosomal RNA, internal transcribed spacer 1, and 5.8S ribosomal RNA". The record is from RNAcentral.
UUUCCGUAGGUGAACCUGCGGAAGGAUCAUUAUUGUAUAACCGAGGUGCGAGGGCUGUCGCUGACCCGAAAGGUCGUGCACGCCCGAGUGCCCUCACACACAUCCAUCUCACCCCUAUGUGCACCUCCGCGUGGGUCCCCCUUUGGCUUGUUCGGAGGGGGGCUUACGUUUUCACACAAACUUUGUAUGCAGUGUAGAAUGUAUUUUUGUUUUUGCGAUCACGCAAUCAAUACAACUUUCAACAACGGAUCUCUUGGCUCUC